GUUUACUAAUUUUCGUAUCUUUUUCGGAGUCAAGCCAAACAACCCCAAAACGCCAAUCACGUGACAUCAACAUCAUUAUCCUCCUCCUCCAUUCCCUCACUUUCAGUGCCCCCAAACAUCCAUCCAAAAUCCCUUCUAGAGAGAGAGUUUUUAGAGAGAGAAAGAAAUGGAAUUGGAACCCCCUCCUUCCCAAUCCAUAGAGAAAACAUACCAGACAGAAGAUGAACAGGACAAAGCCGUAGACGAGUGUUGUUCUUGCUGCUAUGACUGCACAGAUAGCUGCUUUGAGUACUUCUGCUGCUAGAAUCUCUGUUAAUUAAUAUUAAGGAUGUUAUUAUCAAAUUAUAUUCUAUGUUUCUGUCAGUGAAUCAUCAACCCCCUCUAGAAACAUGUUUGUACUUUGAUCUCUCUUGAAUUUAUGAGAGAAUAAUAUUAAGCUAUGUUGGGAGCAGAUUCAUUUUAUUUA
Long non-coding RNA from Cornus florida, 466 nucleotides. RefSeq lists it as uncharacterized. NCBI's taxonomy places the organism in Eukaryota, Viridiplantae, Streptophyta, Magnoliopsida, Cornales, Cornaceae. The transcript is spliced from 2 exons. The record is from RefSeq and is a predicted model, not a curated record.